GCAGGCCUAACACAUGCAAGUCCGAGGGGCAUCGGGCAUUGAAGCUUGCUUCAAUUGCCGGCGACCGGCGCACGGGUGCGUAACGCGUAUGUAACCUACCUAUAACAGGGGCAUAACACUGAGAAAUUGGUACUAAUUCCCCAUAAUAUUCGGAGAGGCAUCUCUCCGGGUUGAAAACUCCGGUGGUUAUAGAUGGACAUGCGUUGUAUUAGCUAGUUGGUGAGGUAACGGCUCACCAAGGCAACGAUACAUAGGGGGACUGAGAGGUUAACCCCCCACACUGGUACUGAGACACGGACCAGACUCCUACGGGAGGCAGCAGUGAGGAAUAUUGGUCAAUGGACGCAAGUCUGAACCAGCCAUGCCGCGUGCAGGAAGACGGCUCUAUGAGUUGUAAACUGCUUUUGUACGAGGGUAAACUCACCUACGUGUAGGUGACUGAAAGUAUCGUACGAAUAAGGAUCGGCUAACUCCGUGCCAGCAGCCGCGGUAAUACGGAGGAUUCAAGCGUUAUCCGGAUUUAUUGGGUUUAAAGGGUGCGUAGGCGGUUUGAUAAGUUAGAGGUGAAAUCCCGGGGCUUAACUCCGGAACUGCCUCUAAUACUGUUAGACUAGAGAGUAGUUGCGGUAGGCGGAAUGUAUGGUGUAGCGGUGAAAUGCUUAGAGAUCAUACAGAACACCGAUUGCGAAGGCAGCUUACCAAACUA
This 706-nucleotide ribosomal RNA is filed under the name uncultured Bacteroidales bacterium. RNAcentral describes it as "bacterial SSU rRNA". It matches the Rfam family "Bacterial small subunit ribosomal RNA", at positions 42 to 736 of the family's 1533-position model. Lineage: Bacteria; Pseudomonadati; Bacteroidota; Bacteroidia; Bacteroidales. The record is from RNAcentral.